AAGUUUGUUAGGAAAGUCCAUACUAGCACAAGCUGAGAUGCUUGUAGUGUUUGUGCUUAAUGAAAAAAUAAAUUAAGGUAGAAGCAAUUCUAACGGCUGAUGAUAUCCUAAACAUUUAUGCAUGGAUUGAAUCUUAAUGUGCCACAGUGACGAUACUUUCGGAAACGAAAGAGUGGAACGGGUAAACCCCUCAAGCUAGCAACCCAAAUUAUGGUAGGGGCACGACAACGAAGGAAAUGAACUUCAAUGUUGCACGUAAGUGAGAUAAAUGAUUACCACCUAGCAAUAGGUACAGAAUAUGGCUUAUA
RNAcentral lists this RNase P RNA (308 nucleotides) under bovine gut metagenome. Its description in RNAcentral is "Bacterial RNase P class B". It matches the Rfam family "Bacterial RNase P class B". Rfam says of the family: Ribonuclease P (RNase P) is a ubiquitous endoribonuclease, found in archaea, bacteria and eukarya as well as chloroplasts and mitochondria. The record is from RNAcentral.